Long non-coding RNA from Malania oleifera, 964 nucleotides. RefSeq lists it as uncharacterized. The record is from RefSeq and is a predicted model, not a curated record. Lineage: Eukaryota; Viridiplantae; Streptophyta; Magnoliopsida; Santalales; Ximeniaceae. The transcript is spliced from 2 exons.
UGCAACUGGGUGUUCUAAUCUCCCCCAUUAUAGCUAUCUAUCUACCACCCUCACCCUUUCCCCCCCUCUCUCUCUCUCUCUCUCUCUCUCUCUCUCUCUCUCUCUCCUCCUUACAGUCACAGAGCUAUCUAUCUUAAUUCAAUUCAUAUGGGGCACGUUGACAGAGAUGAAGCCGGGUAGAGGAGGGGAGGCAAUAGCUGUGGGAACUGACGGUGGGUGUUGAGCAUGAUGGAGAAGCAGGGCACGUGCAUUACUAACUCCAAUUAUGCUCUUCCUGCUGUUGCUGCUGCUGCUGCUGCCAGCUAUAUAUAUAUAUAUAUAUAUAUAUAUAUAUACGUGCAUACAUAUAUAUAUAUAUAUAUAUAUAUAGAAAGAGAUUUAAUUACUUGAUUUAAGUGGAGUUGGUUAUUCAUGUGCCCGUCUUCGCCAUCGUGGCCACUCUUACCUCUUCUAAUUUAUGCAUAUGCGUCUACCCUAAAGAGAUUUCCUGGCUAGCUACUUCCAGCACUGCCGAGAAAAAUAGGACUGCCAGAAGAAAGAAGUACCCAGUACUUUGUUAAUUUCUCAUAUAUCCAUAUUCAAAUCGCCCAAACCCCUAUGCUCCAAAAGGUAUAUGUAUGAUAUCAUAUAUAAUGGCAAAUUAAUAAAGGGGUAAUGGCUGAGUGGGUAGCUAGGGAGGACAAUGGAGAUUACAAGACAGUAGCGGCGGAGCCAGGGCGUCAGCGGAAUUGAUCAAAUUUCAACAAUGCCGCCGGAGACAAGAUUGACUGUUUGACUCUGAGAGGGCCGACGGAGAAUUUUAUUUAACAAAAUUACAAAUAUGAGAUGAUCCAGUCAUCUAUCCUUAGACUUGACCAUGGAAAAUUCUUCGAUUAACAUGUGUACUGAUUAAUUAAUUGAUUAAUCAAUUACUACUGUAUGUACAGUCCCCCCUAUAUAGAGUUUUUUGAUGAUGUUCAACUUC